GUCUAUGGCCAUGCCGCCCUGAAUAAGUCUGAUGUCUGAUCUUGGAAGCUAAGCAGGGUUAGGCCUGGUUAGUACUUGCGUGGGAGACCACCUAGGAAGACCAGGUGUUGUAGGCA
RNAcentral lists this ribosomal RNA (116 nucleotides) under Pteropus alecto (black flying fox). The record is from RNAcentral. Lineage: Eukaryota; Metazoa; Chordata; Mammalia; Chiroptera; Pteropodidae.